This is a non-coding RNA of Pelobates cultripes (western spadefoot toad), 239 nucleotides long. NCBI's taxonomy places the organism in Eukaryota, Metazoa, Chordata, Amphibia, Anura, Pelobatidae. The record is from the annotation of a GenBank genome assembly.
CUUGUUACCAGAAAGAACUUCAAUCUCUGCUUGGUUCGCUCAAUUUUGCCAUGAGAAUCAUUCCUUUAGGGUAUAUCUUUCAUUUCCCGUCUACUUUCUUUGCUCCCGGACCUCCCCUCAGACAGACACACAUGCAACGGCUGACUUACUUAUGUGACGCACUUUUCUCACAUCUUGGAAUGGGCAAGUCAUGUUCCUACCCCCACUUUCCGACAAUUCUCCUAUACGCUGGACAGAUG